This 517-nucleotide ribosomal RNA is filed under the name uncultured bacterium. RNAcentral's name for it is "bacterial SSU rRNA". It matches the Rfam family "Bacterial small subunit ribosomal RNA", at positions 30 to 518 of the family's 1533-position model. The record is from RNAcentral.
CGAACGCUGGCGGCGUGCCUAAUACAUGCAAGUCGAACGGUCUUUCUAUGGAAGCUUGCUUCCACUGAGAAGAUAGUGGCGAACGGGUGAGUAACACGUGGGUAACCUGCCCAUAAGAGGGGGGAUAACAUCCGGAAACGGGUAGCUAAUACCGCAUAGUUUUCUUGAUCGCAUGAUUGAGAAAGGAAAGACGGCCUUUGUGCUGUCGCUUAUGGAUGGACCCGCGGCGUAUUAGUUAGUUGGUGAGGUAACGGCUCACCAAGACGAUGAUACGUAGCCGACCUGAGAGGGUGAUCGGCCACAUUGGGACUGAGACACGGCCCAAACUCCUACGGGAGGCAGCAGUAGGGAAUCUUCCGCAAUGGACGAAAGUCUGACGGAGCAACGCCGCGUGAGUGAAAGAAGGUUUUCGGAUCGUAAAACUCUGUUGUCAGAGAAGAACAAGUUGGAGAGUAACUGCUCCAGCCUUGACGGUAUCUGACCAGAAAGCCACGGCUAACUACGUGCCAGCCGCGGC